CAUUGGCCAUACGGGCUUGUCAAAGCCUGAUCUCGCCAGAUCUCAGAAGCUAAGCAAAGCUGGGCCUGGUUAGUUCCUGGAUGGGACACCACUGGGAAUUCCAGGUGCCACAGUGG
RNAcentral lists this ribosomal RNA (116 nucleotides) under Periophthalmus magnuspinnatus. Lineage: Eukaryota; Metazoa; Chordata; Actinopteri; Gobiiformes; Gobiidae. The record is from RNAcentral.